UUCCAGACUCCUACGGGAGGCAGCAGUCGGGAAUAUUGCGCAAUGGAGGAAACUCUGACGCAGUGACGCCGCGUAUAGGAAGAAGGUUUUCGGAUUGUAAACUAUUGUCGUUAGGGAAGAUAAAAGACUGUACCUAAGGAGGAAGCCCCGGCUAACUACGUGCCAGCAGCCGCGGUAAUACGUAGGGGGCAAGCGUUAUCCGGAUUUACUGGGUGUAAAGGGAGCGUAGACGGCAGUGCAAGUCUGGAGUGAAAGGCGGGGGCUCAACCCCCGGACUGCUCUGGAAACUGUACGGCUGGAGUGCAGGAGAGGUAAGUGGAAUUCCUAGUGUAGCGGUGAAAUGCGUGGAUAUUAGGAGGAACACCAGUGGCGAAGGCGGCUUACUGGACUGUAACUGACGUUGAGGCUCGAAAGCGUGGGGAGCAAACAGGAUUAGAUACCCGCGUA
Molecule: ribosomal RNA, 447 nt
Filed under: uncultured bacterium
Lineage: Bacteria
Description: bacterial SSU rRNA
Rfam family: Bacterial small subunit ribosomal RNA
Source: RNAcentral